RNAcentral lists this unclassified non-coding RNA (232 nucleotides) under rhizosphere metagenome. RNAcentral's name for it is "partial ribosomal RNA internal transcribed spacer region". The record is from RNAcentral.
GUUGGUGAACCAGCGGAGGGAUCAUUACAAGAAGCCGAAAGGCUACUUAAAACCAUCGCGAACCCAUCCAUGUUGCUUCGGCGGCGCGGAGCCCCUCACGGGGCGCCGCAGCCCGGCCUCUCCGGAGGUGCGGGGCGCCCGCCGGAGGUACUAAACUCUCCUGUAUUAUAGUGGCAUCUCUGAUUAUAAAACAAAUAAGUUAAAACUUUCAACAACGGAUCUCUUGGUUCUG